RNAcentral lists this small nuclear RNA (100 nucleotides) under Myotis davidii. Lineage: Eukaryota; Metazoa; Chordata; Mammalia; Chiroptera; Vespertilionidae. The record is from RNAcentral.
AUAUACUAAAAAAAAAUUUUUUUAAAUUGGACUCAUACAGAGAAGAUUAUGGCCCCUGUGCAAGGAUGACACACAAAUUUGUGAAGCAUUCCAUAUUUUA